Molecule: long non-coding RNA, 674 nt
Filed under: Capsicum annuum
Lineage: Eukaryota; Viridiplantae; Streptophyta; Magnoliopsida; Solanales; Solanaceae
Description: long non-coding RNA (CANN_LNC002380)
Source: RNAcentral
AUUCAUUUCACAUAUUUUGACUAAACCAACAGUAUAUCAGAAACAACCUCCCUACCUUUCCCAAGGUAGGGAUAAGUCCGUGCGCACACUACCCUCCUCGAACGCCAACUUUAUUUCCGUGUCUUCCUCUGGACUGUUACCCGAUCAAGAAGUCACACGUCAAAAAGAUGAAAGUAGUGAAACGAGGAUGUUGAGAUGGAUGCAUAGGUAUACUAGGAGAGACAGAAUUAGGAAUGAAGAUACCGAGGACAACGUAGGAGUAGCCACCUUGGCGGACAAGAUGAGAAUGUGAGGCUAAGAUGGUUCGGACAUGUGAAGAGGAGACACACAAAUGUCCCAGCGAGGAGGUGUGAGAUCGAGGUUGCCUAUGAUGGGUACGAGGAGAGGUAGAGAUAGGCCGAAAAAGCGUGACUAUACAAGACAGCUGAUUCCGCAGCUUACCGAGAACACGACACUAGAUAGAAAGAUAUGGUAAGGUAGACGAUAUAGUAGGUAUUAUUUGUUGUUGCUACGACUCUCUUUUCCAUUAUUUUCGCUAUGUCUGCGUGCUUCAUCGCUGUAGUUGUUUUACAUACUUAGACUUUUGAUAUUUUCUACUUGAAUCGACGAUUCUACCUCUCUACCUAUCUCAGGAUAGGAAUAAGGCGGUGUACACACUACCAUCUCCGAACCCC